UACGGGGGGGCAAGCGUUGUUCGGAAUUACUGGGCGUAAAGGGUUUGUAGGUGGCUUGUUAAGUCAGACGUGAAAUCCCUCAGCUUAACUGGGGAACUGCGUCUGAUACUGGCGAGCUUGAGUGCAGGAGAGGAACGCGGAAUUCCAGGUGUAGCGGUGAAAUGCGUAGAUAUCUGGAGGAACACCGGUGGCGAAGGCGGCGUUCUGGACUGCAACUGACACUGAGAAACGAAAGCCAGGGUAGCAAACGGG
RNAcentral lists this ribosomal RNA (252 nucleotides) under uncultured bacterium. Its description in RNAcentral is "partial 16S ribosomal RNA". It matches the Rfam family "Bacterial small subunit ribosomal RNA", at positions 524 to 776 of the family's 1533-position model. The record is from RNAcentral.